This 77-nucleotide transfer RNA is filed under the name Azospirillum brasilense. Its description in RNAcentral is "tRNA-Pro". It matches the Rfam family "tRNA". Rfam says of the family: Transfer RNA (tRNA) molecules are approximately 80 nucleotides in length. Their secondary structure includes four short double-helical elements and three loops (D, anti-codon, and T loops). Further hydrogen bonds mediate the characteristic L-shaped molecular structure. tRNAs have two regions of fundamental functional importance: the anti-codon, which is responsible for specific mRNA codon recognition, and the 3' end, to which the tRNAs corresponding amino acid is attached (by aminoacyl-tRNA synthetases). tRNAs cope with the degeneracy of the genetic code in two manners: having more than one tRNA (with a specific anti-codon) for a particular amino acid; and 'wobble' base-pairing, i.e. permitting non-standard base-pairing at the 3rd anti-codon position. Lineage: Bacteria; Pseudomonadati; Pseudomonadota; Alphaproteobacteria; Rhodospirillales; Azospirillaceae. The record is from RNAcentral. RNAcentral also lists the same sequence under 46 other names.
CGGAGUGUAGCGCAGCCUGGUAGCGCAUCUGGUUUGGGACCAGAGGGUCGGAGGUUCGAAUCCUCUCACUCCGACCA